Non-coding RNA from Manis javanica (Malayan pangolin), 2716 nucleotides. The record is from RefSeq and is a predicted model, not a curated record. Lineage: Eukaryota; Metazoa; Chordata; Mammalia; Pholidota; Manidae.
UCAGCAGCAAAGGAAGUUACACAUAAACUCUCGGAAAGCAGCUGCCACGGUGAGCCCCUGGGAGGGGCAGAGGAAGAAAAUCUCGACCUUUGGAGAAAGCUGAUAACCUGGAGCAGCUUCUAAUUCUACGAGGAUGGUCACACUCACUCUCACUGCCAAGAUUUUCAUUUAAGCUCAUCACACCGAAGGGGAGAAAACACCAAACUAAACACAAAUAAAUCAGUGUUGAACUUUAGGGGAUGCAAACAACAGACAACUUCAGCUGUCUUGAGGAGAAAUGGAAUGUACCUGAAGGAUACCAGGGAGGCUCACCAAGUCUGAGGAACUGUAGAACAACCAGGCUUUGAGAAGAGCAGAACUGGGGCAAUGCUGGAGACCUCAGGAACCACAGUAGAAAAUUAGAUGGUGCUUGCAAACACAAAGACACAGCAUGGCCUCCUGGAACAAAAUGAAAUCUACAGAGUCUUGAAGCAAUAUGGAGAGAUCAAAGCCCAGACAAUGUGUACUUGAGAAGACAGAGGGGAUCGAAAUGAAGGAGAGAAUUUCUUUUCUCACCCUCUGGCUGACUUUCCAUUCUUAAAGAAAUUAGAGCAAAUAAAUAAUUGGCAGUUUUGUUGAACUCUUGAGUGGCAUUUUGUAACUUGUUUAUGCCUAUUAUGGAAAUAAGUUUAUUAAAAAUUCAAACCACAUGGGAACUUUACAGAUACUAAAAUAUGUUUUUAAAACUGUUAUAUAUGCUGAUUUGUAAUCUUUUGAAAUUUCAUGCAUAAAACAGAGCUUAUCCUUUCAUUAAAAUAUUUUUCUGCUUUUGAAUCUUUUAGCAGUGAACUAUAUUUUAAAAUGUGAAAUCUUAGUGGUUAUCUAUUGCUGCAGAUCACCAUAAACUUAGUAGCUUACAAACUGUUCAUUCAUUCAUGAUACUGCAUUUUCUACAGGCUCAGCCAGGAAAAACUCAUCUCUGUUCCACAUGAUGUCAGAUGUGGUGGCUCAAUGAGGGCUGUAGGAGCCACUUAACUCACAUGAGAACACAAGACACAUAAGGCCCUGAAAGUCAUUCAUUGAAAGGGCUUGGCUUUUGCCCUUUGUGAGAUGGGAAGCGACUGGAGGGCUCUCUGAGCACAAAAGUGGCAUGAUAUAACUUGUGUACUCACAGGAUUACCUGGCUACUGGGUGUUGAGAAUAAACUAAGAGGAGUGGGCUGUCAAAGCUGGGAGCAGGGAGGCCAGUUAGGAAGCAAGUGCCAUGGCCCAGGGGAGAGAUGGUGGUGGCUUGAAGAAAUGAGGCAGCAAGGGGAGAUGAUGUGAUUGGAUUUGGAAUAAUAUUCAUCUACGCUUUCUUCUACUUAUUUUAUGGCAUUUUUGCGAUAUAAGAAGUUAGCUUUGGGGUAAGGUUUGAGGUAGUCAUCAACUCCACAAAUCUUUCUUGAGCAGCUAUUCUUAUGUUGUGCUUUCACAGUGCAGGAAAUCCAUUGAAUACUCAAGAAAUAUCUGUAGUUUUGACCUGAACAGUAAUCUUAGCUGAGGUAAUAUCUGAGCACCUACUGUAAGGCCUGGCCCUAUCCCCUGAUGGGGAUGGGGCACCUAUUAACAUUCUGCAGUUAGGAUGCCUUCGCAGUAAAGCCAGCUCCCCCCAGCCAGGAGCCUCCCACCCCCAACUGGAGUGUACUCCUGUAAUGGGCAGAAACUUUAUUUUAAUGGUCUUUUUGAGCUGCCACCUUCCCCUCACUGAAGGCAUGCUGAACUGAGUUGCAUCUCAUCACCGGCUGGAGGGAUGUGGAGUAAGAUUGUGAAGAACAGACCCAAUUCGUGGAGGCCUCUGAGUGCUGGCAUACCCUCUUGGGUGACAGUUGCUUUUUUUUCUUUUCUCCUCUUCCCCCUUCGGGAGCCCCAGUGUCCUGCAGCUGUUACAUCAGCCAGCCGCCUCUGCUGCCAGAUGAGCAGAACAAAAGAUGCGACUCGGUGACUACUCACAUCUGUACUUGUCAAAAGCAAACAGAACAGAUGCCUUUAGCAACGGGGCUCUCCAGCUCAGGGAGGAGAAAUGUCCCUUCUAAGAGCUGACAGAGCCACUUAGCGACGGCAAGGAACAUCAUGAAACAGAACAUUAAACUUUGAUGAACUGCAAAGCCUCGGAGAUUUAAGCUGCAAGUCAACAGAGAUGUUCUAAUCUAUAUAAACACUCUGCAUGCAAAUUCUGGCACAGUUUUGGGCCUUAUUUGGAUGGUGUUUUUCACUGCCUCCUUCAGAAGAGACAGCUAUAAAGGCAAAAAGAGGUGCUGUGGUUUUCUUAUGAACGCGGGGGUAGGGAGCACUUCUUAGUAAGUCCUGGGGCUGGUCCUUCCUGCCCUCAGUCUGCACUUGAGCCUGUCUUUCCUGGGUCCUACGCUCGGGCAGUCUUCCCCAAUCUAAGGAGGGUGUCAGCACUGUGCCCCUCCCUGCCCCUGCCCUGCUGUCACCGUCUCUCUCCAGUAGGCUUUUAACCCAGAGCCCAGCACUGCGAGAGACACACCAAAGUUGGACUGGGAGCAUUCACUCAGUAGUAACAAUUCCAAGUGCAAAUUGACUAUUUACUGCAGGCCAGACACAUGCUUUGAGGCCUUGUCCUUUGUUGAAAUGCUCCCCACAGCCCUGUGAUAUAGGUGGAUUAUUGGCCUCGUACUGAGGCCCGAGGUAGUAGAGUCAGUUGCUCUGAGUCACACCCCUUGUCAAUGGUAAAG